UUUUUUUUUUUUUUUUUUUUAAUGUGGAAGUAGCUUUGGAAUUGGUUUGUGAAUAGAGGCUGGAAGAUUUUUGAGGUUCAUGUUAGAAAAGGCCCAGAUUGCCUUUGAAGAGAGACUGUUGUUUCAAAAAUGGAUAUUUAGGGCAGCCCGGGUGGCUCAGCAGUUUAGCACCACCUUCAGCCCAGGGCGUGAUCCUGGAGAUCAGGGAUCGAAUCCCACGUUGGGCUCCCUGCAUGGAGUCUGCUUCUCCCUCUGCCUAUGUCUCUGCUGCCUGUCUCUUUGUGUCUCUCACGAAUAUAUAUAGUUUUUUUUUUUAAUUUUUUUUUUAAUUUCUAUUUAUUUAUGAUAGUCACACAGAGAGAGAGAGAGAACCUCUGAUUUACAGCCAACUGCUCAGAAGUACAGAUAACAAUCUGAACUUGCAGAUGGCAUCCUGAGUUGGAGGGGAUCACUGGAACCUCCAAUUUGUAGCCAGUUGGCCAGAGACACAGGUAAUAACAUAGGCUUGCAUCUGGCAUAUGAAGGAGCAGGGAAAAGAGUAGUAGGACAGCACUCUUGUGGGACUCAGCCCUUAAUCUGUGGAAUCUGAUAUUAUCUCUGGGUAGACACUGUCAGAAUUGAAUUGAAUUAUAAGAUAUCCAACAGGUUUCUGGAAAAUUGCUCCUUGGUGAUGUGGGAAACCCCCCCACACACACACAUGUUGCAAUUGGGCAUGGUACCUAAUUACUAUCCAUAUUACAAAAAGAAAAGGUAUAUUCUAGAAAGCACACCAAAGGGGUGGCUGGAAAAUCGUAUGAUAAAGAGUUCAUAGGUGCUGUAGGGUCCAAGGGCAGGCUGCCUGAGGGCAGGCUGCCUGAAGACAGGCCACUUUGGCAUGAACACUGUUUUGAAUUAAACACAAUGGAAACCCAGUAGAUUCAUAAAAAGCUUUUCACCUCCCCCUCAACUGACUCUUUGAACCAGGAAAAGAGCUAUUAAUAGAGACUUCUCUUUACCUAAGAAACUUACCUACAUAAUAAGGUAACCUUGGUUUUUCAAGCAUCUUUCAACUUCCUGCUAAUGGUCUUUCCCCACUUUGGAUCCUCAGAUACCUUCCCUUUGUUCAUACAAGCAUCAUAUUGCUUCACUGUCUUUGGAAAAUCCAUGUCUAUGUGGAUUCCCUGUAUGUAUGCUAUUAAAUUUGAUUUUCCUUUGUUAAUCUGUCUCCUAUCAAUUUGAUUCUUAGCCCAGCCAAAAGGACAUUAAAGGUAGAGAAAAUUCUUCCUCCUGAUAGUGUGAUUCAUAGAUUUAAUCAGCCAUCUCAGAAGUAUCUAGGAAUAGCGAUGGAACUAUAACAGCAGAAGCACUGCCAGCUUGGAAUAAAGGGGACAGAGUCAACAAAAUAAAGGAAUCCUGUUGGACUUCUGGGAUUCCACAGAAUAAAAAAAUUGAACUAUGUGGCUGCCAGUCCCCAUUAUCCUUAAAGAAAAGGGAAGAAUAGCACCAAAAGCUGUUCAGAAAUAAGCAUAACUGUCACUCCUACCAUGAGUCUGGAGGAUACAGGCCUAGGGGGUCAAGGCUGUAUCUUCAGUUUUAGUGGGUCAGGCUGCUACCAACCAGUCCCUCAGGAACAAAGUUAUUGCCCAGAAACAAGAAGAUGAUGCUGCCACCCCUGGAGCUCCAGAGGCAAAGCAUUGAGCCAAACGAGAUUACUCUUGAGCCUUAAAAUCUAAUGGAAUUAUCUUGCUAAAUUUUGGACUUCCUUUGGAUCCACACCUCCCCCUUUCUUCUUUCUGAUUUCUCUCUUUUAUUAUUAUUACUUUUUAAGAUUUUGUUUAUUUGUCAGAGAGAAAGAGUGUAAGCAGGCAGAAGAGCAGGCAGAGGGAGAAGCAGGCUCCCUGAUGAGCAAGAAGCUGGAUGCUGGACUCUGGACUCAAUCUCAAGAGCCUGGGAUCAUGACCUGAGCCGAAGGCUGAUGCUUAACUGACUGAGCCACGCAGGCAUCCUGAUUUCUCUUUUAAAAUAUGAAUGUUGUAGUAGCAAAUUAGUUCUGAAUUAUGAAACAUUUGCUAUUUAGCAAGCUAGCAAAUGAUGCACAUAUUUUGUUUUUCAUGUACUGGGCAAUAUAAGUGAAAUUAAAUCUGUCCUUUUUCCCCUCUCGAAUGAGGUUUCCAUUUGGAAAAAAGACUUGCACUGUUGCAUAUGUUCUGGGGACAUAGACUUCUCAUAAUUUCCACUUAGGGGCACUUAAAGAUUUUUUCCUAUUGGAACACUUUUACACUUUCUGAUGUAUAGUACUUGAAGUUCUUGCCAGAAAAUUGCUUUUGAGUUUUGAAGGCUUUAUUCAAACUACUUUUAAAUAAGUGGUUUAUUGUCAGUGCUGUGUUUCAUUUUGUUUUAUAGAAUAUUUUUCCUCUACCCUUUUAUUUAUUUCCUUCCCAUUUUAAACAUAUAUAUAAUUUCCAAUCCAGGAUAUUGCCUUGCCACCCAUGAAAACUGUUCUGGCACCAAAAGUAAUGAGAAAUGUUCAGUGUAUUAGAAAAUUAGAGUAAAGAGCCACUCAGCUUCAGUUUUUACAUACCAUGAAUAAAACAUUAAAACAUCACAUGGAGAAGUUUACAUGGUGAUUGUUCACCUGCAGUACUGCAGACUUUUAACAUUUUGUAUCCUUUUCAGUGAACCAGAAUAAAAAUAUUCAUUGACCAUUAUGGUUAUUUGCUGAUUUUUUUUUUUUUGAUGGUAAUCUAUCCUUAUGACACUAUGGCAACCAAACUGGCUUUACCAUCUUCGCUUUAGCAGUUAUCGAAGACAAUGGAUUAUCAUCUUUAUUACUAUCUGUCUUAAGCAUUAUAUGCUAGUGGAAUCUAGUUUAAUUGUUUCAGAUGGAAAAGUAUUUGAAUUUCCAUUUUGAAUGUGUUUGGACUAAACAAACAAUAAACUACUGAUGUCUGCAGCAUUUAUCUAUGUCCCUAAUUUAAUCUGUAGGUUUGUGUUCCAAAGUAUUUUCUCCCAAUUGCAUUUCAUACAACCUAAGUAAAAAUAAGUAAUUGUUCUAAAACAAAAACAAUAAACACACAAAAAAUUUUUUAAAUAAAAUGCAGGUGCUUGAGUGGCUCAGUCAGUUAAGCAUCUGCCUUGGGUUAAGGUCAUGAUCCCAGGGCCCUGGGAUUGAGUCCAAAUCCCCAUUUGGGCUCCCGGCUCAGUAGAGAGUCUACUCCCUCUCCCAACCUUCCUGCCUGUGUGCACUUGCUCUCUCUCUUUCUAAUAAAAA
Molecule: long non-coding RNA, 3250 nt
Filed under: Canis lupus familiaris (dog)
Lineage: Eukaryota; Metazoa; Chordata; Mammalia; Carnivora; Canidae
Description: lncRNA (ENSCAFG00000051692.1)
Source: RNAcentral